Molecule: ribosomal RNA, 467 nt
Filed under: uncultured bacterium
Lineage: Bacteria
Description: partial 16S ribosomal RNA
Rfam family: Bacterial small subunit ribosomal RNA
Source: RNAcentral
GACGAACGCUGGCGGCGUGCUUAACACAUGCAAGUCGAACGGAAAGGCCCUGCUUUUGUGGGGUGCUCGAGUGGCGAACGGGUGAGUAACACGUGAGUAACCUGCCCUUGACUUUGGGAUAACUUCAGGAAACUGGGGCUAAUACCGGAUAGGAGCUCCUGCUGCAUGGUGGGGGUUGGAAAGUUUCGGCGGUUGGGGAUGGACUCGCGGCUUAUCAGCUUGUUGGUGGGGUAGUGGCUUACCAAGGCUUUGACGGGUAGCCGGCCUGAGAGGGUGACCGGCCAAUUGGGGCAGAGAAAACGGCCCAGACCCCUAGGGGAGGAGGAGGGGGGGAAUAUUGCAAAAGGGGGGGAAGCCGGAUGCAGCAACGCCGGGGGGGGAAGGAGGGCCUUGGGGUUGAAAACCGCUUUCGCCGGGAACGAGGGGGGGGGGACGGUAAUGGGGAAAGAAACACCGGCUAACUACGU